RNAcentral lists this ribosomal RNA (118 nucleotides) under Clytia hemisphaerica. RNAcentral's name for it is "eukaryotic large subunit ribosomal RNA". It matches the Rfam family "Bacterial large subunit ribosomal RNA", at positions 713 to 852 of the family's 2925-position model. Lineage: Eukaryota; Metazoa; Cnidaria; Hydrozoa; Leptothecata; Clytiidae. The record is from RNAcentral.
ACCCGAAACCAGGCGAUCUAAUUGUGAAUAGCUUGUAGAGCGAACCAUUGAAUGUAGAAAAAUUCUUGGAAAAUUUGCAGUUAGCAGCGAAAAACUAAUCGAGCUUGGAUAUAGCUGG